AACGCACCUUGCGCUUUCGGGUUAUUCCUGGAAGCAUGCUUGUUGGAGUAACUGUACACUCUCAACCCCACCUUUCUUAAUUGAAAAGGCUGUCGGGCUUGGAUCUUGAUGCUUUGUUGUGUUGAUUUCUCGAUACAACUGCGUUGAAAUACAGUCAAGCUGAAAACGCAUCUCUUGCUAGAACUUUGCAGGCUUCGGCUAUACUAUUGUUGUAAAACUUCGGUCAAUAGUGUUGCAUUCCGUUUGAAAAGAGGUCGAAACUAGUAGGCUUACCAAAAACAAAGUAGACCCGUUCUUAAUUGCACGACUACGCCAUAUUGUUGACUUGUUCUCCAAUCAAGUAGGACUACCCGCUGAACUUAA
RNAcentral lists this unclassified non-coding RNA (363 nucleotides) under uncultured fungus. Its description in RNAcentral is "partial contains 5.8S ribosomal RNA, internal transcribed spacer 2, and large subunit ribosomal RNA". The record is from RNAcentral. Lineage: Eukaryota; Fungi.